Long non-coding RNA from Calidris pugnax (ruff), 293 nucleotides. RefSeq lists it as uncharacterized. NCBI's taxonomy places the organism in Eukaryota, Metazoa, Chordata, Aves, Charadriiformes, Scolopacidae. The record is from RefSeq and is a predicted model, not a curated record. The transcript has 3 exons.
GGCACAGAAAGACCUACGUGAAUCUUCCAGUGUAGCAUUGGAAACACUGCAUAGAUAAGGAAAAGGUUCCAAGGGAUUAAAUCAGUACUGCUGUUCUCAGUUGUUUCCAGAAGCUGCUUUUCAACCUAAUCUGAAACUCCCUCUGUGUGCACUUACACAAACCACAGCUUUGCGAGUUGUCUACAGAAACACUGCCAGGAACUGGAGCUGAUGAAGCAGGAUUAUUUUUUUCAGUUUCCAGUUGCACCUCAGCAGAGCUCAAGGCUGCAGAAACCUCUCCUGUCCUGAGACAG